Molecule: long non-coding RNA, 442 nt
Organism: Gallus gallus (chicken)
Lineage: Eukaryota; Metazoa; Chordata; Aves; Galliformes; Phasianidae
Exons: 2
Source: RefSeq, a predicted model, not a curated record
CCUGAAAGACAAGAAGAAGAAAUUACUUGGGCUUCUGCUUCACAUCAAAUUUGGAGGUUUUUCUUUUCCCCCAGCAGUGACAACGUAGUCAAGAUGCUGGCAGCUUCAUACUGGAGAGUGAAUAUUUCCCUGAGAUCAGUUUCUUGUUUGCAACAGAAGCCAGAUGAAGGCGUGCUGCACCUACCUUUCAACUCGGUCAUCAUACUUACAUUGACAUGGGGAACUGUAAAAUGCUGAGUGAAGAGCUGCCAGAAAUGUAGAAGCCAGAAUAACCAGUGGGAGAAAUCUUUCUAAUGGAAGUUUCUUUCAUUGCCUGUCAGCUUUUACCUUCUCUUCGAGAAACCUCCUCUCCAGUUGCACAACCUCUUCCUGAUGUUUCCUGUUUGAGAUCUUGAUGCUCUUCUUCAACUGUGAUAAAAAAAAUAAACUGUGUUUUAAUUUA